CAGGUGUGUCCCAACCACCUCCAGGCGCAUCCAAACCAUCUCCAGCUGCUCCUGGACCGUCUCCAGGUGUGUCCAAACUCCUUUUGGUGCCCCCAAACCAUCUCCAGGUGCCCUCAGACCCUCUCCAGCUGUUCCUGGACCAUCUCCAGGUGCUCCUGAACCAUCUCCAGGUGCUCCUGAAUCCUCUCCAGGUGCGUCCAAACCAUCUCCAGCUGUUCCUGAACCAUCUCCAGGUGCAUCCAAACCAUCUCCAGGUGUCUCCAAAUGUUCCCCAGGCACCUUCAAGUCCCUUCUGGU
Molecule: long non-coding RNA, 297 nt
Organism: Corvus hawaiiensis (hawaiian crow)
Lineage: Eukaryota; Metazoa; Chordata; Aves; Passeriformes; Corvidae
Exons: 4
Source: RefSeq, a predicted model, not a curated record